GACGAACGCUGGCGGCGUGCUUAACACAUGCAAGUCGAACGGAAAGGUCCUGCUUUUGCGGGGUGCUCGAGUGGCGAACGGGUGAGUAACACGUGAGUAACCUGCCCUUGACUUUGGGAUAACUUCAGGAAACUGCGGCUAAUACCGGAUAGGAGCUCCUGCUGCACGGUGGGGUUUGGAAAGUUUUGGCGGUGGGGGAUGGACUCGCGGCUUAUCAGCUUGUUGGUGAGGUAGUGGCUUACAAAGGUUUUGACGGGUAGCCGGCGUGAGAGGGUGAACGGCCACAUUAGGACUGAGAUAGGGACCAGACUCCUAUGGGAGGCAGCAGGGGGGAAUAUUGCACAAUGGGCGGAAGCCUGAUGCAGCAACGCCGCGUGCGGGAUGACGGCCUUCGGGUUGUAAACCGCUUUCGCCUGUGACGAAGCGUGAGUGACGGUAAUGGGUAAAGAAGCACCGGCUAACUACGUG
This 468-nucleotide ribosomal RNA is filed under the name uncultured bacterium. RNAcentral describes it as "partial 16S ribosomal RNA". It matches the Rfam family "Bacterial small subunit ribosomal RNA", at positions 28 to 507 of the family's 1533-position model. The record is from RNAcentral.